RNAcentral lists this ribosomal RNA (1446 nucleotides) under Escherichia coli. RNAcentral's name for it is "partial 23S ribosomal RNA". It matches the Rfam family "Bacterial large subunit ribosomal RNA", at positions 445 to 1874 of the family's 2925-position model. Lineage: Bacteria; Pseudomonadati; Pseudomonadota; Gammaproteobacteria; Enterobacterales; Enterobacteriaceae. The record is from RNAcentral.
UGGGGGGACCAUCCUCCAAGGCUAAAUACUCCUGACUGACCGAUAGUGAACCAGUACCGUGAGGGAAAGGCGAAAAGAACCCCGGCGAGGGGAGUGAAAAAGAACCUGAAACCGUGUACGUACAAGCAGUGGGAGCACAGAGCAAUCUGUGUGACUGCGUACCUUUUGUAUAAUGGGUCAGCGACUUAUAUUCUGUAGCAAGGUUAACCGAAUAGGGGAGCCGAAGGGAAACCGAGUCUUAACUGGGCGUUAAGUUGCAGGGUAUAGACCCGAAACCCGGUGAUCUAGCCAUGGGCAGGUUGAAGGUUGGGUAACACUAACUGGAGGACCGAACCGACUAAUGUUGAAAAAUUAGCGGAUGACUUGUGGCUGGGGGUGAAAGGCCAAUCAAACCGGGAGAUAGCUGGUUCUCCCCGAAAGCUAUUUAGGUAGCGCCUCGUGAAUUCAUCUCCGGGGGUAGAGCACUGUUUCGGCAAGGGGGUCAUCCCGACUUACCAACCCGAUGCAAACUGCGAAUACCGGAGAAUGUUAUCACGGGAGACACACGGCGGGUGCUAACGUCCGUCGUGAAGAGGGAAACAACCCAGACCGCCAGCUAAGGUCCCAAAGUCAUGGUUAAGUGGGAAACGAUGUGGGAAGGCCCAGACAGCCAGGAUGUUGGCUUAGAAGCAGCCAUCAUUUAAAGAAAGCGUAAUAGCUCACUGGUCGAGUCGGCCUGCGCGGAAGAUGUAACGGGGCUAAACCAUGCACCGAAGCUGCGGCAGCGACGCUUAUGCGUUGUUGGGUAGGGGAGCGUUCUGUAAGCCUGCGAAGGUGUGCUGUGAGGCAUGCUGGAGGUAUCAGAAGUGCGAAUGCUGACAUAAGUAACGAUAAAGCGGGUGAAAAGCCCGCUCGCCGGAAGACCAAGGGUUCCUGUCCAACGUUAAUCGGGGCAGGGUGAGUCGACCCCUAAGGCGAGGCCGAAAGGCGUAGUCGAUGGGAAACAGGUUAAUAUUCCUGUACUUGGUGUUACUGCGAAGGGGGGACGGAGAAGGCUAUGUUGGCCGGGCGACGGUUGUCCCGGUUUAAGCGUGUAGGCUGGUUUUCCAGGCAAAUCCGGAAAAUCAAGGCUGAGGCGUGAUGACGAGGCACUACGGUGCUGAAGCAACAAAUGCCCUGCUUCCAGGAAAAGCCUCUAAGCAUCAGGUAACAUCAAAUCGUACCCCAAACCGACACAGGUGGUCAGGUAGAGAAUACCAAGGCGCUUGAGAGAACUCGGGUGAAGGAACUAGGCAAAAUGGUGCCGUAACUUCGGGAGAAGGCACGCUGAUAUGUAGGUGAAGCGACUUGCUCGUGGAGCUGAAAUCAGUCGAAGAUACCAGCUGGCUGCAACUGUUUAUUAAAAACACAGCACUGUGCAAACACGAAAGUGGACGUAUACGGUGUGACGCCUGCCCGGUGCCGGAA